GACGAACGCUGGCGGCGUGCUUAACACAUGCAAGUCGAACGCUGAAGCUCAGCUUUUGUUGGGUGGAUGAGUGGCGAACGGGUGAGUAACACGUGAGUAACCUGCCUCCUUCUUUGGGAUAACGCCCGGAAACGGGUGCUAAUACUGGAUAUUCACUGGUCUUCGCAUGGGGGUUGGUGGAAAGGGUUUUUCUGGUGGGGGAUGGGCUCGCGGCCUAUCAGCUUGUUGGUGGGGUGAUGGCCUACCAAGGCUUUGACGGGUAGCCGGCCUGAGAGGGUGACCGGUCACAUUGGGACUGAGAUACGGCCCAGACUCCUACGGGAGGCAGCAGUGGGGAAUAUUGCACAAUGGGCGCAAGCCUGAUGCAGCGACGCCGCGUGAGGGAUGGAGGCCUUCGGGUUGUGAACCUCUUUCGCUCAUGGUCAAGCCGCAACAAUGGUUGUGGUGAGGCUAGUGGGUAAAGAAGCGCCGGCUAACUACGUG
This 483-nucleotide ribosomal RNA is filed under the name uncultured bacterium. RNAcentral describes it as "partial 16S ribosomal RNA". It matches the Rfam family "Bacterial small subunit ribosomal RNA", at positions 28 to 507 of the family's 1533-position model. The record is from RNAcentral.